AUGUCGUCUUCCUUAGGUGUAUUGGCUUGGAAUGUAAGGGUGUUGAAUAACCCUGCCUGGAGGAGUUCGAUUAGUAUGUUCAUGCAAUCCCUCGAUGUUUCCCUAGUUUGCUUUCAAGAGUCCAAGUUGGCACUCAUGAAUGAAACUAUGGUUCGAGAGACUUUGGGACCGAGCUUUGAUGGUUUUGAUUUCUUGCCUGCUGAGGGCACCAGAGGGGGUAUUUUCUUGGCCUGGAAGUCUGUCAGGUUGCAGGUGUUGAAUGUCCAGAAAGAUGAAUUCAUGAUCUCGGCACAAAUUUUGUCAUUGGUAGAUGGCAAGGAGUCAUUGGUGUCUUCUGUUUACGGGACCACAAGAGGAUGA
This 360-nucleotide ribosomal RNA is filed under the name Triticum aestivum (bread wheat). RNAcentral's name for it is "partial small subunit ribosomal RNA". The record is from RNAcentral. Lineage: Eukaryota; Viridiplantae; Streptophyta; Magnoliopsida; Poales; Poaceae.